UACGAAGGGGGCUAGUGUUGUUCGGAAUUACUGGGCGUAAAGCGCACGUAGGCGGAUUUGUAAGUCAGGGGUGAAAUCCCGGGGCUCAACCUCGGAACUGCCUUUGAUACUGCAAGUCUCGAGUCCGAUAGAGGUGAGUGGAAUUCCUAGUGUAGAGGUGAAAUUCGUAGAUAUUAGGAAGAACACCAGUGGCGAAGGCGGCUCACUGGAUCGGUACUGACGCUGAGGUGCGAAAGCGUGGGGAGCGAACGGG
This 253-nucleotide ribosomal RNA is filed under the name uncultured bacterium. RNAcentral's name for it is "partial 16S ribosomal RNA". It matches the Rfam family "Bacterial small subunit ribosomal RNA", at positions 524 to 776 of the family's 1533-position model. The record is from RNAcentral.